RNAcentral lists this non-coding RNA (121 nucleotides) under Candidatus Omnitrophota bacterium. RNAcentral's name for it is "Omnitrophica WOR c-di-GMP sequence". It matches the Rfam family "c-di-GMP-I-GGC riboswitch aptamer". The record is from RNAcentral. Lineage: Bacteria; Pseudomonadati; Candidatus Omnitrophota.
GAACGAAAAGGUAAACCUUGAGCGAUCAAGGGACACAAAGCCACGGGUCUUAACAAGCGCGAAUAAUCGCGGAAAAAAGACCGCGGAAUCAGUAAGAGAAAAGACAGCCGGGUUGCCGAAU